Molecule: ribosomal RNA, 253 nt
Filed under: uncultured bacterium
Lineage: Bacteria
Description: partial 16S ribosomal RNA
Rfam family: Bacterial small subunit ribosomal RNA
Source: RNAcentral
UACAGAGGGGGCAAGCGUUGUUCGGAAUUACUGGGCGUAAAGGGCGCGUAGGUGGCCUUCUAAGUUGAACGUGAAAUCCCUGGGCUCAACCCAGGAACUGCGUCCAAGACUGGGAGGCUUGAAUCCGGGAGAGGGAUGCGGAAUUCCAGGUGUAGCGGUGAAAUGCGCAGAUAUCAGGAGGAACACCAAUGGCGAAGGCAGCACUCUGGGACGUGACUGACGCUGAGACGCGAAAGCGUGGGGAGCAAACAGG